RNAcentral lists this ribosomal RNA (493 nucleotides) under uncultured bacterium. RNAcentral's name for it is "bacterial SSU rRNA". It matches the Rfam family "Bacterial small subunit ribosomal RNA", at positions 903 to 1397 of the family's 1533-position model. The record is from RNAcentral.
AAAUGAAUAGACGGGGACCCGCACAAGCAGCGGAGCAUGUGGUUUAAUUCGAAGCAACGCGAAGAACCUUACCAGGGCUUGACAUCCCUCUGACCGUCCCUUAAUCGGGGCCUCCCUUCGGGGCAGAGGUGACAGGUGGUGCAUGGUUGUCGUCAGCUCGUGUCGUGAGAUGUUGGGUUAAGUCCCGCAACGAGCGCAACCCUUGUCAUUAGUUGCCAGCAUUUCGGAUGGGCACUCUAGUGAGACUGCCGGGGAUAACUCGGAGGAAGGUGGGGAUGACGUCAAAUCAUCAUGCCCCUUAUGUCCUGGGCUACACACGUGCUACAAUGGCCGGCACAGAGAGAAGCGAUCCCGUGAGGUAGAGCAAAUCUCCAAAACCGGUCCCAGUUCGGAUUGCAGGCUGCAACUCGCCUGCAUGAAGUCGGAGUUGCUAGUAAUCGCGAAUCAGAAUGUCGCGGUGAAUGCGUUCCCGGGUCUUGUACACACCGCCCGU